This 816-nucleotide long non-coding RNA is filed under the name Cyanistes caeruleus (blue tit). Its description in RNAcentral is "lncRNA (ENSCCEG00000003602.1)". Lineage: Eukaryota; Metazoa; Chordata; Aves; Passeriformes; Paridae. The record is from RNAcentral.
GUUUUUUUGAGUUUUUUGGGGUUUUUUUUUAGCUUUUUGAGUUUUUUGGGGGGUUUUUUUGAGUUUUUUGGGGGUUUUUUUGGGUUUUUUGGGGUUUUUUUUGAGUUUUUUAGGAGUUUUUUGGGGUGUUUUUGGAGGUUUUAUUUGGAGUUUUUUUGGGGGUUAUUCUGGGGGUGUUUCUGGGGUUUUUUUGGGGUGUUUUUGGGGUUUUUUUGGGGUGUUUCUGGGGUUAUUCUGGGGUGUUUCUGGGAUUUUUUUGGGGUGUUUCUGGGGUUAUUUUGGGGUGUUCCUGGGGUUAUUCUGGGGGUGUUUCCGGGGUUAUUCUGGGGUGUUUUUGGGUCACUCACGAGUCCCGGCGGCGCCGCUGGUGCUCGAAGACGAGGAGGCCGCGGGCGUUGACGCUGCAGAGCAGCUCCCGGCCCCGCAGCAGGUCCAGGCGGAACGGGCGCUCUGUCACCAGCAGCCGGUGUCCCCCGGGGCCCAGAGACAGCUCCAGGGUGGCCUCGUCACGGGCUGUCACCUCCAGCCUGGGGACAGCGGCCGAAAGGGGUGGCUGUGACACCCCUGGGUCCCCUGUCCUCUCUUGGGGGUGGCUGUGACACCCCUGUGUCCUCAGUGUCCCCAAUGUCCCCAGUGCUGUCCCCAGUGUCCCCAAUGUCCCCAGUGCUGUCCCCAGUGUCCCCAGUGUCCCCAAUGUCCCCAGUGUCCCCUCACCUCUCGGCAGGUGGCUGUGACACCCCAGUGUCCCCAGUGUCCCCAGUGUCCCCUCACCUCUCGGCAGGUGGCUGUGACCCCCCAGUGUCCCCAGUGUCCCCA